This 468-nucleotide ribosomal RNA is filed under the name uncultured bacterium. RNAcentral's name for it is "partial 16S ribosomal RNA". It matches the Rfam family "Bacterial small subunit ribosomal RNA", at positions 28 to 507 of the family's 1533-position model. The record is from RNAcentral.
GACGAACGCUGGCGGCGUGCUUAACACAUGCAAGUCGAACGGAAAGGCCCUGCUUUUGUGGGGUGCUCGAGUGGCGAACGGGUGAGUAACACGUGAGUAGCCUGCCCUUGACUUUGGGAUAACUUCAGGAAACUGGGGCUAAUACCGGAUAGGAGCUCCUGCUGCAUGGUGGGGGUUGGAAAGUUUCGGCGGUUGGGGAUGGACUCGCGGCUUAUCAGCUUGUUGGUGGGGUAGUGGCUUACCAAGGCUUUGACGGGUAGCCGGCCUGAGAGGGUGACCGGCCACAUUGGGACUGAGAUACGGCCCAGACUCCUACGGGAGGCAGCAGUGGGGAAUAUUGCACAAUGGGCGGAAGCCUGAUGCAGCAACGCCGCGUGCGGGAUGACGGCCUUCGGGUUGUGAACCGCUUUCGCCUGUGACGAAGCGUGAGUGACGGUAAUGGGUAAAGAAGCACCGGCUAACUACGUG